This 253-nucleotide ribosomal RNA is filed under the name uncultured bacterium. Its description in RNAcentral is "partial 16S ribosomal RNA". It matches the Rfam family "Bacterial small subunit ribosomal RNA", at positions 524 to 776 of the family's 1533-position model. The record is from RNAcentral.
UACGGAGGGGGCUAGCGUUGUUCGGAAUUACUGGGCGUAAAGCGCGCGUAGGCGGCUUUGUAAGUUAGAGGUGAAAGCCCGGAGCUCAACUCCGGAAUUGCCUUUAAGACUGCAUCGCUAGAAUCAUGGAGAGGUUAGUGGAAUUCCGAGUGUAGAGGUGAAAUUCGUAGAUAUUCGGAAGAACACCAGUGGCGAAGGCGACUCACUGGACACGUAUUGACGCUGAGGUGCGAAAGCGUGGGGAGCAAACAGG